UACGUAGGGGGCAAGCGUUGUCCGGAAUCAUUGGGCGUAAAGAGCGUGUAGGCGGCUCGGUAAGUCCGCUGUGAAAUCUCGAGGCUCAACUUCGAGCUGUCGGUGGAAACUGUCUGGCUAGAGUCCGGAAGAGGAGAAUGGAAUUCCUGGUGUAGCGGUGAAAUGCGCAGAUAUCAGGAAGAACACCCGUGGCGAAGGCGGUUCUCUGGGACGGUACUGACGCUGAGACGCGAAAGCGUGGGGAGCGAACAGG
RNAcentral lists this ribosomal RNA (253 nucleotides) under uncultured bacterium. RNAcentral's name for it is "partial 16S ribosomal RNA". It matches the Rfam family "Bacterial small subunit ribosomal RNA", at positions 524 to 776 of the family's 1533-position model. The record is from RNAcentral.